CAUAGCGACUAUCGUGGCAUAUCAAUAAGCGGAGGAAAAGAAACUAACAAGGAUUCCCCUAGUAACGGCGAGUGAAGCGGGAAGAGCUCAAAUUUGAAAUCUUCAAGGUUUGACCUUGACGAAUUGUAGUUUAAAGAAGUGUUUUCGGUUAGAGGAGUAGUAAAAGUUCUUUGGAAUAGGACAUCAUAGAGGGUGAGAAUCCCGUAUUUGACUAUUCUUUCUAGCUUUGUGAUACACUUUCAAAGAGUCGGAUUGUUUGGGAAUGCAGUCCAAAAUGGGUGGUAAAUUUCAUCUAAAGCUAAAUAUUGGCGAGAGACCGAUAGCGAACAAGUACCGUGAGGGAAAGAUGAAAAGAACUUUGAAAAGAGAGUUAAACAGUACGUGAAAUUGUCAAAAGGGAAGCGUUUGACACCAGUGUUGUUUUUCCGAAAAUCAAUUAAAAAUUGAUUCAUGCCAGGUUGUAUUGACCUUAUCAGCUUGCAAUUUGGUUUUGGGUCUCUUUUUGAUGCACUUUUCGGUUAACAAGUCAACAUCAAUUUCCUUUGCUGUAAAAAGGUAAGAGGAAGGUGGCUUCAAUUUCGGUUGAAGUGUUUAUAGCCUUUUAUCUCUGCAGUCGGGGAGAUUGAGGUCUGCAGCGUAGAUCCUUCGGGGCUAGAUACAUUUAUGCUAAGUUAUAGCUUUUCAUAGACAACUUGUUGACUAUGUUUAGUCAUGUAGCUUACUCGUAAGUGCUAUUUUACCUACGCUUAGGAUGUUGACGAGACUGUCGAUCUCAUAGCGACUAUCGUGGCAUAUCAAUAAGCGGAGAAAAGCGCAUUAAAGAUCCAGAUACCUACGCUUAGGAUGUUGACGAGACUGUCGAUCUC
RNAcentral lists this ribosomal RNA (866 nucleotides) under uncultured Neocallimastigales. RNAcentral describes it as "partial large subunit ribosomal RNA". It matches the Rfam family "Eukaryotic large subunit ribosomal RNA", at positions 22 to 647 of the family's 3401-position model. Lineage: Eukaryota; Fungi; Neocallimastigomycota; Neocallimastigomycetes; Neocallimastigales. The record is from RNAcentral.